GCGCUCGUAGCUCAGUUUGGAUAGAGCGCUGCCCUCCGGAGGCAGAGGUCUCAGGUUCGAAUCCUGUCGGGCGUA
This 75-nucleotide transfer RNA is filed under the name Candidatus Palibaumannia cicadellinicola. Its description in RNAcentral is "Candidatus Baumannia cicadellinicola tRNA". It matches the Rfam family "tRNA". Rfam says of the family: Transfer RNA (tRNA) molecules are approximately 80 nucleotides in length. Their secondary structure includes four short double-helical elements and three loops (D, anti-codon, and T loops). The record is from Rfam by way of RNAcentral. Lineage: Bacteria; Pseudomonadati; Pseudomonadota; Gammaproteobacteria.